UACGAAGGGUGCAAGCGUUAAUCGGAAUUACUGGGCGUAAAGCGCGCGUAGGUGGCUUGAUAAGUUGGAUGUGAAAUCCCCGGGCUCAACCUGGGAACUGCAUCCAAAACUGUCUGGCUAGAGUGUGGUAGAGGGUAGUGGAAUUUCCAGUGUAGCGGUGAAAUGCGUAGAUAUUGGAAGGAACACCAGUGGCGAAGGCGACUACCUGGACUAACACUGACACUGAGGUGCGAAAGCGUGGGGAGCAAACAGG
RNAcentral lists this ribosomal RNA (253 nucleotides) under uncultured bacterium. RNAcentral describes it as "partial 16S ribosomal RNA". It matches the Rfam family "Bacterial small subunit ribosomal RNA", at positions 524 to 776 of the family's 1533-position model. The record is from RNAcentral.